UUCCGUAGGUGAACCUGCGGAAGGAUCAUUAAUGAAACUUCAAAGUCGGCCAAAGGUUGUUGCUGGUGAUUAUUCACAUGUGCACRCCUUUGGUCGCAAAUCCACACACACCUGUGCAUCUAUGACUCGAGGUUGUAAUGACUGAGAGUAACUUUUAUACACUCUUGUAUGUAAUGGAAUGUCUUUUUGUGCUAUAAUGUACAAUAUAAACAACUUUCAACAACGGAUCUCUUGGCUCUCGCAUCGAUGAAGAACGCAGCGAAAUGCGAUAAGUAAUGUGAAUUGCAGAAUUCAGUGAAUCAUCGAAUCUUUGAACGCACCUUGCACCCUUUGGUAUUCCGAAGGGUACGCCCGUUUGAGUGUCAUUGUAAUCUCACUUCUACAACUUUAUUGUUGUUUGAAUGUGGACUUGGAUGUUGCCGUUUUAUCACGGCUCGUCUUAAAUGCCUGAGUGUACCCUGUUUUGCAGCGUAUCCAGUGUAAUAAACAUUUCACUAGAGUUGGUUGAAAGACCACGUUGACUAUAUGGGCUCUAUGCUUCAAACCGUCUGCCAUGUGGACAAUUUCUUGACAAUUUGACCUCAAAUCGGGUGGGACUACCCGCUGAACUUAAGCAUAUCAAUAAGCGGAGGAAAAGAAACUAACAAGGAUUCCCCUAGUAACGGCGAGUGAAGAGGGAAAAGCUCAAAUUUUAAAUCUGGUGUCUUUGACUCCCGAGUUGUAAUCUAGAGAAGUGUUUUCCGUGUCGGACCGUGUACAAGUUCCCUGGAACGGGGCGUCAUAGAGGGUGAGAAUCCCGUAUAUGCCACGGACUACCGAUGCUCUGUGAUACACUCUCAACGAGUCGAGUUGUUUGGGAAUGCAGCUCAAAAUGGGUGGUAAAUUCCAUCUAAAGCUAAAUAUUGGYGAGAGACCGAUAGCGAACAAGUACCGUGAGGGAAAGAUGAAAAGCACUUUGGAAAGAGAGUGAAACAGUACGUGAAAUUGUUGAAAGGGAAGCGUUUGAAGUCAGUCGCAUCUGUUGGGGUUCAGCCUGGCUUUUGCCUGGUGUAUUUCCUUUCCGAUGGGUCAGCAUCAGUUUCGACCGAGGGAAAAAGACAUUUGGAAUGUGGCUGUCUUCGGGCAGUGUUAUAGCCUUGUGUUGUAUGUCUCGGUUGGGACUGAGGAUUGCAGCGCGCCAUAAAUGGCCGGGGGUCGCUCCUCUCGACACGCGCUUAGGAUGCUGGCAUAAUGGCUUUAAGCGACCCGUC
Molecule: ribosomal RNA, 1250 nt
Filed under: uncultured Sebacina
Lineage: Eukaryota; Fungi; Basidiomycota; Agaricomycetes; Sebacinales; Sebacinaceae
Description: eukaryotic LSU rRNA
Rfam family: Eukaryotic large subunit ribosomal RNA (bases 577-1250)
Source: RNAcentral